CACCAGGGACAGAGUGAGACCCUGUCUUAAAAAAAAAAAAAAAGGAAUAUGGACUUCGGAGUCUGCAAGCCUAGUUUUGAAUCUCUGUUCCCGCCAUUUCUAAGCUAUGAAACAUUAGGCAGGUCCCUGACCAUCUCUGAGCCCCGUGUAUGGACAACUUGGAGGGAGGCUGAAAUUACACCGCGGUGCAGCACCGGGCUGUGCAGUACCUGGUGCAGUAUAGGAAUCCCAGUUAGGUGAGCUCCACCCCCCCCAUGCCAGCUGAGAUCCACAGGAGACCUUUGUCCGUGCACCCCCAGAAUGUGACCUUUAGAACUUGCCAAUGACCCACCCAACUCACAACCAUUAUUUUUCUGAGAUAAUUUGCCAGAUAUGUGUGAUGCGAGAGGAAAAAGGGAGGCGGCGGCAGUCAGGAGGAUUGAUUCCGGGGGAUCCGGAGAGAGGUCUUACCUCCUCCUACACGCACAGCAGGCAGACUCCAUUUAGACACAAAGGGGUGGGACUGGGUUCGGGGAGAAACUGAGCCUCCUCGGUGCGGUCUGGUCUAGAUCCAGCAGUUCCCCGGUUACCCACCCUGGGCGCUGCGAUUGGCUGGCCGCGCCGAGUGUCGGUGGGGGGCGAGCCGCCGGCGGGGCCGCAGCAUCCCUCAGUCUCAGGCCCGGGAGGGGGAGGGGAAAGGCCGAGGCCGAGCGGUGGAGGGAAGAGGAGCCAUUUCUCUCCCCUGACUGCAACCUCCGUGCUCACAGCUCACAGUUUUCCAGAAUCCAGGGCCUGGGACUGCACGAUGCUUGAUAUUUUCAUCCUGAUGUUCUUCGCCAUCAUAGGCCUGGUCAUUCUGUCCUACAUUAUCUACCUGCUCUAGUGGCCUGGAGCGGCGGCCGAGAGCUGCAGGCAGACCGGAGGGGAAGGAUGAAGCCGAAGGGCCGAGCAUCCUGCUUGCUGACGCACCGGUGGAGUUUUGCUUCUGGUCAUUAUUUCGGCUCCUGGUCGCCAGUCCAACAAGAGGCCUCUUAUCAACAGCAGCUGCCCAACAGACCUCUUCCAGAGCCUUCCGGACAUGGUUAAUCCCUGGCAAGCAAGGGGCUUUUUGAGCUCAGAGGCAGAGCACUGGGCUGGGACACUGGGAAUGCAUGGACAUGACUGGCAGAUGCUGCAUGUGUUUGGGCUGUAGAUAGUGUUGAGAACACAGAAAGUUGAAAUGUAGACUCAUUAAAGUUACCAUGGAGAACCGCUCAAAAAUUCAUUUUGAUAGCCUUUCCUUAGGUCUAAAUGCAACUACAUAUUACGCUCAAAUAUGGUCCUUCCUUUCCCUCUCACAUGCAGGGGUUCCCCUGUUAAGUUUAAGAGCAAGUUCAAGUUGUCUAAUCUUCAUCUAUGAAGUAGUCACUUUAUCACUGUCUUUAUAGAUUAUACCAUCUGAGGUUGUGUGGUUUUCCUUGUCUCACUCUCCAGCCAGAAGGAACUUGUCAUUUGAGUUUUAAGAUUUAUCAUUUCUUCCCCACCUCAAACCACUUGUGUCCCAGCUUCUCAUUUAAAGAGAGAAACGUAUAUAGUCCUUAUUCUUGCACCUGACUGAAUUAUAAAUUAUUGAAACAAGAUGGUUAUAUUUAUUUAGGAAAAACGUCUUACCCCAAAAUUUUAUUGUCAAAUGUUCCUUUUCUGGAAAAAAAUUUUUCAAUAUAUGUCCCAUUAGGGCAGAAAAAACUAUAUAUUUGGGGGUUGAGAGUAGAACUGGCCCCCAAACCUAGGGUAUUUAUUCCUUUGACAAAUCCAUCAUAAUUUGUUCUACAUUUUGAUUUCCCUUCUAGCUUAAAAAUAAACAAGAGAAAGAUGAAUACUUUUUAGUAAUAACAUUGUAUUCAAUUUCUAUGUUUUAAAAAGAAAUAAAAUUGAAGUAUUAUAAUAUAUGUGACAAUUAAAAUGGAACACUUGCAUUUUAAAAUUCAGAACAAGAAAAAACAUUAUUCUCAACACUUUGUCUUGGCAACAAAUUACAUUACCUUUAAGAAGUCAUUUAAUCUUUAGGGCUUCAGUUUUUUCUGUCAAAUGAAAGAGUUAGACUAGAAAAUUUUUAAUAUCCUUUUCCAUUUUAAAAUCUAGAAUUGUAGAAUGCAUAAUCUUUGGAAACUACAUGACUGAGAGCAGAAUUCUCAUAGCUCUUACGAUGUUGCCCAGGCUGGCCUUGAACUCCUGGCCUCAUGAGUCUUCCCACCUCAUCCUCCCAAGUAGCUGAGACUACAGGCAUAAUCUACUGUACCCAGCUUGGAACAAACUCUUAGCAGUUUACUGGUAGUUCCUGUUUCCAUUCCCUCUCCCCAAAAUGACAUUUUAUAACGAAAACUCAACUGCAAAACUUUUUUUUGGGCCACAUUUGGAGGUUUUCUCCUCUAAUAUUUAUUUACUCCAAAUAUAUAUUAUUAUAUCAGUGAUAAUUUGUCUAAAAUGUUUAGGAAGUAUUAACAAAGACAAUACUACAUGGUGGUAUGUAGCAAAAAGACAGGUAAUCUGACAGGUACACUAAUGUAAGAAACAUGGCUCUGAACAUCGAUAUAUUUAGGAAUAAUUUUCAGGAGUCCUUGAUAUGAAAUUUCCCCCUAAAAUAUUCCUCUGACUCCAUAACCUUGUGUUUUGAACAACUUUCCACUUCAGGCCAAGAUAGCAGCUCUAUGUCCUGAGGUAACUGAGGCAAGUGCCAGCAUUUUGGAGGGGUCCAAAUUAAACAAUUGUGAUGGCGUAGAUCUUCGUGGUAUGUAUAUACACUUUUUAACCAAGCUCGCUCUGGAGUCUUCUUUCUAUGAUGUCAAGGCUUUUCGGUCUGUUUCCAUACAAAGUUGAAACCACUAAUCAAUUCAGUAAAAAAAAAAAAAAAAAAUCAGCCAAUUUUAGUCACAUGUUAGUGAUACGGCUGGUAUCGGGCACAAUGUAGGGA
Microcebus murinus (gray mouse lemur) is the source of this 2929-nucleotide long non-coding RNA. RefSeq lists it as uncharacterized. NCBI's taxonomy places the organism in Eukaryota, Metazoa, Chordata, Mammalia, Primates, Cheirogaleidae. The record is from RefSeq and is a predicted model, not a curated record.